This 439-nucleotide ribosomal RNA is filed under the name uncultured bacterium. Its description in RNAcentral is "partial 16S ribosomal RNA". It matches the Rfam family "Bacterial small subunit ribosomal RNA", at positions 339 to 795 of the family's 1533-position model. The record is from RNAcentral.
CUACGGGACGCAGCAGUGAGGAAUAUUGCACAAUGGGGGGAACCCUGAUGCAGCAACGCCGCGUGGAGGAUGACGCAUUUCGGUGUGUAAACUCCUUUUAUAUGUCAAGAAAAUGACGGUAGCAUAUGGAUAAGCACCGGCUAACUCCGUGCCAGCAGCCGCGGUAAUACGGAGGGUGCAAGCGUUACUCGGAAUCACUGGGCGUAAAGGACGCGUAGGCGGGUUGGAAAGUCAGGUGUGAAAUCCUACAGCUUAACUGUAGAACUGCACUUGAAACUUCUAAUCUAGAGUAUGGGAGAGGGAGAUGGAAUUAGUGGUGUAGGGGUAAAAUCCGUAGAUAUCACUAGGAAUACCUAAAGCGAAGGCGAUCUCCUGGAACAUUACUGACGCUAAGGCGUGAAAGCGUGGGGAGCAAACAGGAUUAGAUACCCCAGUAGUC